CUUUUGCUAGUUCUAAAAAUACUAGUGAAUAAGGGGUGGGCAAGUUCUGGUGUCAGCCGCCGCGGUAAAACCAGCACCUCAAGUGGUCAGGAGGAUUAUUGGGCCUAAAGCAUCCGUAGCCUGUUCUAUAAGUUUGCGGUUAAAUCUAUACGCUCAACGUAUAGGCUGCUGUAAAUACUGUAGAACUAGGGAGUGGGAGAGGUAGACGGUACUCGGUAGGAAGGGGUAAAAUCCUUUGAUCUAUCGAUGACCACCUGUGGCGAAGGCGGUCUACCAGAACACGUUCGACGGUGAGGGAUGAAAGCUGGGGGAGCAAACCGGAUUAGAUACCCGGGUAGUCCCAGCUGUAAACGAUGCAGACUCGAUGAUGCAAUGGCAUAGAGCUAUUGCAGUAUCGCAGGGAAGCCGUUAAGUCUGCCGCCUGGGAAGUACGUACGCAAGUAUGAAACUUAAAGGAA
Molecule: ribosomal RNA, 458 nt
Filed under: uncultured marine group I thaumarchaeote
Lineage: Archaea; Thermoproteati; Nitrososphaerota
Description: bacterial SSU rRNA
Rfam family: Archaeal small subunit ribosomal RNA
Source: RNAcentral